AUUGAACGCUGGCGGCAGGCCUAACACAUGCAAGUCGAGCGGAGCGGCGGACGGGUGAGUAAUGCCUAGGAAUCUGCCUGGUAGUGGGGGAUAACGUCCGGAAACGGGCGCUAAUCCCGAAUCCAACCAGAUGAGCCUAGGUCGGAUUACCUAGUUGGUGGGGUAAAGGCCUACCAAGGGGACGAUCCUAAACUGGUCUGAGAGGAUGAACAGUCACACUGGAACUGAGACACGGUCCAGACUCCUACGGGAGGCAGCAGUGGGGAAUAUUGGACAAUGGGCGAAAGCCUGAUCCAGCCAUGCCGCGUGUGUGAAGAAGGUCUUCGGAUUGUAAAGCACUUUAAGUUGGGAGGCGUUACCAACAGAAUAAGCACCGGCUAACUUCGUGCCAGCAGCCGCGGUAAUUC
This 407-nucleotide ribosomal RNA is filed under the name uncultured bacterium. Its description in RNAcentral is "partial 16S ribosomal RNA". It matches the Rfam family "Bacterial small subunit ribosomal RNA", at positions 30 to 526 of the family's 1533-position model. The record is from RNAcentral.